UAGGAAUACCCGCUGAACUUAAGCAUAUCAAUAAGCGGAGGAAAAGAAACCAACAGGGAUUGCCCUAGUAACGGCGAGUGAAGCGGCAACAGCUCAAAUUUGAAAUCUGGCCCUAGCGGUCCGAGUUGUAAUUUGUAGAGGAUGCUUUUGGUUAGGUGCCUUCUGAGUUCCCUGGAACGGGACGCCAGAGAGGGUGAGAGCCCCGUACGGUUGGACACCGAGCCUCUAUAUAGCUCCUUCGACGAGUCGAGUAGUUUGGGAAUGCUGCUCUAAAUGGGAGGUAAAUUUCUUCUAAAGCUAAAUACCGGCCAGAGACCGAUAGCGCACAAGUAGAGUGAUCGAAAGAUGAAAAGUACUUUGAAAAGAGGGUUAAAUAGCACGUGAAAUUGUUGAAAGGGAAGCGUUUGCGACCAGACUUUUUCCAGGCGGAUCAUCCGGUGUUCUCACCGGUGCACUUCGCCUGGUUUAGGCCAGCAUCGGUUCUCUUAGGGGGAUAAAGGCCUGGGGAACGUAGCUCCUUCGGGAGUGUUAUAGCCCCUAGCGUAAUACCCUUCGGGGGACCGAGGAACGCGC
This 573-nucleotide ribosomal RNA is filed under the name Daldinia loculata. Its description in RNAcentral is "eukaryotic LSU rRNA". It matches the Rfam family "Eukaryotic large subunit ribosomal RNA", at positions 16 to 598 of the family's 3401-position model. Lineage: Eukaryota; Fungi; Ascomycota; Sordariomycetes; Xylariales; Hypoxylaceae. The record is from RNAcentral.